AGGACAAACCCCUGGGGGGUAAGGGAGAGGCAGGGAGCCUGCAUUUAGACUUCCUCUCAGCUUGCAAGAUGCAUCACACAUGAAGAGGGCUUGGGGCUACCUGUAUACAGUCCUUUGCAGAUAAAGAGAAAAAUUUGCUUCAUGUGGAUACUCCAUGGAUUAAGGAGCAAGCCUCCAAGAGAUCUCACAGUGUCUCUCCACGGAGAAGGAGUGGUCUCCCGAGUGUGUGCAUUCAGUGGGGUCGCACCCCGGAAUCCUGCAUAGAGCCUGUCUGGUCGGCUACCUUCUCCAAAGACUAGAACAGCAACAGCAAACCAGUCCCUGCCCCAAACUGUGCCGGCCUCCUUUGUCACGGACCCUGGGGGCAGACAGCUAUGAACUCACCAGAGGAUCAACCCAUUUGAUGAAGUUAGUGCCCUCACUGUUCCAUCGUGUCAAGUUGAAUAUCAAGAUUAACCAGCACACAGGUUAUCUGUAUCUUCACAUGUAAUCCUAUUGGCAAAUUGCUCCCCUAAGUGGGAAUUGGAGGAACUCCAUCUCCCUGCUGUUCUUGGAAGCUCCCCCUGCUAUCUGUGUUUAUCUUCAAUGGAGUUAUGGCCAUCCUCCUCCAGCUGGCUUACAUCUGGGACUGGAACAUGGUUCACACAGCAGCUGUCUGAUUUCUUGCCUCAGGUGUGGCCAAGCUGACAGCACUCUAGUGAAGCUGUGCAUGUUCCAGGGACAUUCCUGGAGAGGUGUCCUUCUCUGAUUCUGCCAGCACUCUCCUAUCUGCAAGAAACCUCCCUCUACUUAAAACAUUUAGAUUGUUUUCUGGUUGCUACCUUGA
Chinchilla lanigera (long-tailed chinchilla) is the source of this 826-nucleotide long non-coding RNA. RefSeq lists it as uncharacterized. Lineage: Eukaryota; Metazoa; Chordata; Mammalia; Rodentia; Chinchillidae. The record is from RefSeq and is a predicted model, not a curated record. The transcript is spliced from 3 exons.